UUGGAGGGCAAGUCUGGUGCCAGCAGCCGCGGUAAUUCCAGCUCCAAUAGCGUAUAUUAAAGUUGUUGCGGUUAAAAAGCUCGUAGUUGAAUUUCGGGAUCAGCAGGUUGGUCGUGCCAAUGGUAUGCACUGGCCUUGCUGAUUCCUCCCUCUUGAUGAGCCGUAAUGCCAUUAAUUUGGUGUUGCGGGGAAUCAGGACUGUUACUUUGAAAAAAUUAGAGUGUUUAAAGCAGGCAAGCGCUUGAAUACAUUAGCAUGGAAUAAUGAAAUAGGACGUUUGAUCCUAUUUUGUUGGUUUCUAGGAUUGACGUAAUGAUUAAUAGGGAUAGUUGGGGGCAUUAGUAUUCAAUUGUCAGAGGUGAAAUUCUUGGAUUUAUUGAGGACUAACUACUGCGAAAGCAUUUGCCAAGGAUGUUUUCAUUAAUCAAGAAUGAAAGUUAGGGGAUCGAAGACGAUCAGAUACCGUCGUAGUCUUAACCAUAAACUAUGCCGACUAGGGAUCGGAUGAUGUUAAUUUUUUAAUGACUCAUUCGGCGCCUUACGGGAAAC
Molecule: ribosomal RNA, 549 nt
Filed under: uncultured Glomus
Lineage: Eukaryota; Fungi; Glomeromycota; Glomeromycetes; Glomerales; Glomeraceae
Description: SSU rRNA
Rfam family: Eukaryotic small subunit ribosomal RNA
Source: RNAcentral